UCUGGUGUCUAGCGUAGAGGAACCACACAAUCCAUCCGAACUGGUGUUAAACUCUACUGCGGUGAAGAUACUGUAGGGAGGUCUGCGGAAAAUAGCUCGACGCCAGGA
RNAcentral lists this ribosomal RNA (108 nucleotides) under Salix viminalis (osier). Lineage: Eukaryota; Viridiplantae; Streptophyta; Magnoliopsida; Malpighiales; Salicaceae. The record is from RNAcentral.